AGUUGAGAAAUCCACUAAGUGAUUGUUUCCAUAUUCAGGGAAACCUAGGUUGAGAAAGACAUAAUAGGUAAUCCUGAGCCAAAUUUUGUUUUUAAAAUAGGUGCAGAGACUCAAAGGGAACUAUCCAAAUAAAAAAGAUUAUUUUUAAUUAUAUUCAAUCAAUCAAAUACUUAAUUAAUCAUAAAUAUUUAGAAAUUUAUUUUUUAGUUAUUAAAAAUAAUUCUUUAUUAUGGAUAAAGAUAGAGUCCAUUUUUACAUGCUAUAUUUAGCAAUGACGCAAAUCAAUGUAAAAAGAAAAUCCGUUGGCUUUUUAGACCGUGAGGGUUCAAGUCCCUCUACCCCCA
RNAcentral lists this transfer RNA (344 nucleotides) under Mylia taylorii. RNAcentral describes it as "partial tRNA-Leu". The stretch from base 1 to 122 matches the Rfam family "Group I catalytic intron", at positions 27 to 158 of the family's 253-position model. The record is from RNAcentral. Lineage: Eukaryota; Viridiplantae; Streptophyta; Jungermanniopsida; Jungermanniales; Myliaceae.